Prosopis cineraria is the source of this 2080-nucleotide RNA transcript. RefSeq lists it as uncharacterized. Lineage: Eukaryota; Viridiplantae; Streptophyta; Magnoliopsida; Fabales; Fabaceae. The record is from RefSeq and is a predicted model, not a curated record. The transcript is spliced from 2 exons.
CAUUGUAGCAGGCAAAGGAAGGAAGCAGAAUAACACAAGCACGGCAUUUUCUACAUAUGGGGAUUGGUGGUUUCAUGAUCAUGAAAGCAAUCUCUAUGUAUGCAAUUGACAACAUAUCACCCAAUUCGUCUUCGUUACUUCCUAUGCAGAUCCAAAUCUCAUAAUUUAUUCUUUUUCUAUUAGUAGUAAGUGCUAUAUAUACCUGCCGUUCCAGAUCUGUAUCAUAUCUCUUCUUCACCAUCUUCAUCUAUAGCAUUUCUUAGCUUUCUUGUUCAUAUUGCUGAGAAAAGCGUUCUGUUCAUUGUUUGUUUGUUUUGGUCAAGGGGAAUAUCUAGAUUAUCUACUGCUUCGAAUUUCAAAUGCUAUAGUAUUAUACCAUACGAUACAGACAGGGCAAUGUAUUCUGAGUUUUCUUGUUCCAGCCCUAUUGGAAGAAUGGACUGUGUCAAUUUGUUCAAGAGAUCUAUCAGUAAAUUUUAGCUAUGUUUGUUGAAUCAAACACGACAUGACUAUGUAAUUGAUGCUUCAAGCAUUUUGAUCGAGGUUAAUUUGAAGUAUCCAAAUCUUACUGGAGAUUGUUUUUGCUGAUCGAUGGCUUCUUCCGGAUUUUUUCUGAUCUGUCUACUGCACUCCGCGAUAGCCCUAACCUGUGGAUCACUCAUGGUUUUCUUCUCGGCGGAGAUCUCCGAGUUCAGCCACGGGUCGGAGACAGCUAGGAAGCUUCAAGGAUCAACGCCUCACGAUCAAUUGCUGGUUCGAACUUCAGAUUCGUUCUCGGGAUUGCUCUUGUUCACGAUCGGAUUCAUGUUGUUCAUGGUGGCUUUUGCAAAGGACAGGGAGUUUCAGAGCUUCUUCGCAAAAGGAUGCGUUGCCGUUCACGUUUCCAUGGCAGUGUGGAGGUUUGGAUUCUUGAGGAAGGUUGAAGAUCUGGCACAUGAAUGGCCCAGGCAGGCUAUUGGAGACCUGGCAUUGGCAGUUUCUUGGGUGUUCUUUCUUGUGUAUUCAUGGAGAGAGAAGUAUGAUUAGUCCUCAUAGGAUUGAUUACCCAGUACAGAGAAUUCUGUCAGCGUGAUGCAAAAAUGGCAAUACUUCCCUACACGAGCCAUGCUUUUUCAGUGUAAUUUGCAGAGACAAUGAAAGAAAUAGAGCAGGGCUGCACUUACGUCCCUUGAGUACGGCAUGCAGAUGGGAAAUGCUGCAACGGAGAGAAAGUAAUUACGCCUAAGAAAUGGAGAGGGAGAGGAUGUGACUACAUGAACACGAGGGAGUGCAACAACAAUAACAACAAGGAGAAGAAAACUAGAAUUAAGACCAAGAUGAACAAAAAAUGUAUGAAAAAUGAUGAUGAAAGGCAUAGGGAGGAGGAGGAAGAGAGAAAAGAAGAGGAAGUGACUGUGGAUGCAAAUACGAGUGAGAAGAGAGGAAGGCAAGUGUGGUGAUGGAGGGAUCAAGGUGCAGUAGAGUCAACGGGAGGGGAUGGAGGUGUUGUCAGCAAACACUAGUAGGUUACCCUUUAGCUAUCAAGGCUAAAGUCGAUGACGAUGGGUUCCAUAGAUGUGUUUCUUGUUGUGGAUGAAAGCUAUACGCCUCGUGCUAAUCCUUCAAACAACAAGCACAAGGGCUACGACUUGUGCCCUAGGAGUGAAGUACGAGGAGGAGAGAAAGGGAGGGAGAAGGGGGGAGAGAGAGGAUAGAGAGAUGAUGUUUUUAUUAUUAUUAUUAUUAAAAAAUAUAAAAAUUACUACCACUGUCGCACCCGGAAAAAUGCGACGCGAACGGCGCGCGAGCGGAGGUCCCGGCCUUCGCGGCGGGAACUGGAUCGAACGAGGAGUCGCCACCAAGAUUUUGAGGUAAAUCUCGGGAAACCGAUUAAUGGAAGAUAAGGGUGGUCUGCGAAAUCAGAGAACGGGUUCGGGAGUCGGUUGAGUGUGGGGAAGGUGUUAGGCACCCCACAACACCCGUUCGUGAGAACAGUUACCUGAAGUUUGUUGUGCUCUAUUAAUAUGGUUUUAAAAUUAUUUUAAUUAUCCCUUUUAUAUUCAUGUGUUUGAUAUAAAAAUAAUGAUAAUUGAGUGAGAAA